RNAcentral lists this ribosomal RNA (253 nucleotides) under uncultured bacterium. RNAcentral describes it as "partial 16S ribosomal RNA". It matches the Rfam family "Bacterial small subunit ribosomal RNA", at positions 524 to 776 of the family's 1533-position model. The record is from RNAcentral.
UACGGGGGGGGCAAGCGUUGUUCGGAAUUACUGGGCGUAAAGGGUGCGUAGGCGGCGCAGAAAGUUGGGUGUGAAAUCCCUCGGCUUAACCGAGGAAUUGCGCCCAAAACUACUGUGCUCGAGGGAGGUAGAGGUGAGCGGAACUUAGGGUGGAGCGGUGAAAUGCGUUGAUAUCCUAAGGAACACCGGUGGCGAAAGCGGCUCACUGGACCUCUUCUGACGCUGAGGCACGAAAGCUAGGGUAGCAAACGGG